CAUCUAUUUUGUGUGUGAAAAGGCAUGACAGUAGUUUGCUCAUCAUGUGAAACAUAAUGGUACAUUUCAGACGAACUCCAGACCAGCCAGUGCAUUGACAGCCGCUAUUGCGUUAGCUAGCUGGCCUCUGACAUUCAUCCUAGCUUUACUAUCAACUAGCUAGCUUUAUCAGGCAGCUUUAGAUGUGAGGGGAAAACAAAUAUAUGUGACCUGAUUCAGGAAACUGGGCGUAUGUCAAAAGUCACAACUUCACAGGAGAGCCGUUUGGCAGAAAUGCAGAACAGGUGGAGAGGGAGUAAGAUUACUAGAAAGCAUGCAUGCUGCCAGACCACCAAAGGACCCUAGAGCUGACAACGUGGUGGCAGGUUUCUUGAUGUUCUGCUCUAGAGUUCCAUGGCCCGGCAGACUCACCUGGGAACAGAGGGAUGGACACGUUCGUUUUUUUUAAAGUCUGGGAGACUUUUAGUGGGAGGAGAGUACAUGUGUUUUGGAGUGAGUACAGUAAAUCCAACCAGUGGCCCUGGAUAAUUGUCACGAUCGUCAUAAUGGACGGACCAAGGCGCAGCGUGAGUUGAGUUCCACAUCUUUAAUUUAAAGUGAAACAUUAAAAAAAAUACAAUAAACAGACAACGACCGUGAUAGCCGGGGUGCAACAUUCACACACACAAAAACAAUAUCCCACAAAGCAGGUGGGAACAGGGAACCCUUAAGUAUGAUCCCCAAUUAGAGACAAUGAACAUCAUCUGCCUCUAAUUGAGAACCAUACUAAGAGCACCAACAUAGAAAUGGAAAAACUAGAACACCCCCCUAGUCACGCUCUGACCUAAACACCAUAGAGAACCAAGGGCUCUCUAUGGUCAGGGUGUGACAAUAAUAUGAUAUGUGUCAUCACACAGACAGACAACAAUAGUGAAGAAGGUUUACAUAGCGCAUCAAGUAUAUUAGCACCAGUGGAGCUUACUUCUUUGGAGAGAUCGCAGGUAGUUGAUCUGAAGGCUCUGGAGGUCCUUGGAAUAUUCUGUCUCUAGCACCUGUAGAGAGAUGGAUAGAGGUACUGAAUGCUCUUGCAAGAGAGUUAAGAUGUAUAUGUUGAUUAUUGAGGACUAUAAGGGUGCCUUCCAAUCAGUCAACUGGAUGAGUAAAAGGGGCAGAGGGUUUCAAGUUGUAUCUUCAUGUCUGUAACUUCACUCUCACUCCUAAGACCUCACCCCUGACCUCCCAAUGGCCCAAAACUCUCUAAUCAAUCUCUCGGACAGGGAGUUACUCCAGGAGUAGACAAGUGUAUGGUGCGUAGGGCUUCUCACUCUGCAUAUGAGUGGAGUAUUAGCUAUAUAUACAGUAUAUAAACAAUAUGCAUGAUUUACUGACAUAGAGUGCUCCAUGUUCUUGCUGGUAGCAGGCCUCAAACUAGAUGCAGGGAAAUGUCCUGUCUUGUAUUAUGAUUGUAUACAUCUUCACCAGGUUCCUGGAAAUCAUAUGACAAACCUGCAUAGAUUAACACAAUAAAAUGGUAACUGUAUUUAGUCAAUUGAAGUCAUGACAGCCAUAGCCA
RNAcentral lists this long non-coding RNA (1552 nucleotides) under Salmo salar (Atlantic salmon). RNAcentral describes it as "lncRNA (ENSSSAG00000106192.1, ENSSSAG00020081738.1)". The record is from RNAcentral. Lineage: Eukaryota; Metazoa; Chordata; Actinopteri; Salmoniformes; Salmonidae.